This 742-nucleotide ribosomal RNA is filed under the name Gyalolechia cranfieldii. Its description in RNAcentral is "mitochondrial SSU rRNA". It matches the Rfam family "Bacterial small subunit ribosomal RNA", at positions 352 to 1200 of the family's 1533-position model. Lineage: Eukaryota; Fungi; Ascomycota; Lecanoromycetes; Teloschistales; Teloschistaceae. The record is from RNAcentral.
CUUGGAGGAAUGUAUAGCAAUAGCUAACUGCACUAAAAAUUUUAGUGUAAAAUCGACUAUGUUGAAUAAAAUUCUGGGUAGUACUAUGAUAAUGACAUUACAUAUUCAUAAGUCUUGACCAAAUUACGUGCCAGCAGUCGCGGUAAUACGUAGAAGACAAGUGUUAUUCAUCUUUAAUAGGUUUAAAGCGUACUUAGACGGUAAAUCAAGCCUCAAAAGGGACUAAUUUGCUAGAGUUUUAUGUGAGAAAGUAUUAAAGUACUGUUGGUGUAGAGAUGAAAUUCUGUCAUACCUUAGAUGGCACAGGUUAUGGCGAAAGCAUCUUUUUAUGUAAAAACUGACGUUGAAGGACGAAGGCUUUGUGUCUCGAACAGGAUUAGAUACCCUAGUAGUCUAAGCAGACAAUGAUGAAUGUCAUAGAUUAGAUGUAAUUUGAUCUAUAAAUGAAAGUGUAAGCAUUCCACCUCAAGAGUAAUUUGGCAACAUUGGAACUGAAAUCAUUAGACCGUUUCUGAAACCAGUAGUGAUGUAUGUUGUUUAAUUUGAUAAUCCGCAAAAAACCUUACCACCAUGUGAAUAGAUAUAUUUUAUCAUACAAGCGUUGCACGGCUGUCUUUAGUUAAUGUCGUGAGACUUUGGUUAGUUCCAUAAAAUUAACGUAAACCCUUACUUUAUUUUAAAAUAAAGUAGCUCACCGCUAUAUUGGAUGUGAUAACAGGGAUCAAGACAAGUCAUCAUGACC